This 1436-nucleotide ribosomal RNA is filed under the name uncultured organism. Its description in RNAcentral is "SSU rRNA". It matches the Rfam family "Bacterial small subunit ribosomal RNA". The record is from RNAcentral.
GAUGAACGCUAGCUACAGGCUUAACACAUGCAAGUCGAGGGGCAUCAGGAAGAAAGCUUGCUUUCUUUGCUGGCGACCGGCGCACGGGUGAGUAACACGUAUCCAACCUGCCCUUUACUCGGGGAUAGCCUUUCGAAAGAAAGAUUAAUACCCGAUAGCAUAAUGAUUCCGCAUGGUUUCAUUAUUAAAGGAUUCCGGUAAAGGAUGGGGAUGCGUUCCAUUAGGUUGUUGGUGAGGUAACGGCCCACCAAGCCUUCGAUGGAUAGGGGUUCUGAGAGGAAGGUCCCCCACAUUGGAACUGAGACACGGUCCAAACUCCUACGGGAGGCAGCAGUGAGGAAUAUUGGUCAAUGGGCGCUAGCCUGAACCAGCCAAGUAGCGUGAAGGAUGAAGGCUCUAUGGGUCGUAAACUUCUUUUAUAUAAGAAUAAAGUGCAGUAUGUAUACUGUUUUGUAUGUAUUAUAUGAAUAAGGAUCGGCUAACUCCGUGCCAGCAGCCGCGGUAAUACGGAGGAUCCGAGCGUUAUCCGGAUUUAUUGGGUUUAAAGGGAGCGUAGGUGGACUGGUAAGUCAGUUGUGAAAGUUUGCGGCUCAACCGUAAAAUUGCAGUUGAUACUGUCAGUCUUGAGUACAGUAGAGGUGGGCGGAAUUCGUGGUGUAGCGGUGAAAUGCUUAGAUAUCACGAAGAACUCCGAUUGCGAAGGCAGCUCACUGGACUGCAACUGACACUGAUGCUCGAAAGUGUGGGUAUCAAACAGGAUUAGAUACCCUGGUAGUCCACACAGUAAACGAUGAAUACUCGCUGUUUGCGAUAUACAGUAAGCGGCCAAGCGAAAGCAUUAAGUAUUCCACCUGGGGAGUACGCCGGCAACGGUGAAACUCAAAGGAAUUGACGGGGGCCCGCACAAGCGGAGGAACAUGUGGUUUAAUUCGAUGAUACGCGAGGAACCUUACCCGGGCUUAAAUUGCAGUGGAAUGAUGUGGAAACAUGUCAGUGAGCAAUCACCGCUGUGAAGGUGCUGCAUGGUUGUCGUCAGCUCGUGCCGUGAGGUGUCGGCUUAAGUGCCAUAACGAGCGCAACCCUUAUCUUUAGUUACUAACAGGUUAUGCUGAGGACUCUAGAGAGACUGCCGUCGUAAGAUGUGAGGAAGGUGGGGAUGACGUCAAAUCAGCACGGCCCUUACGUCCGGGGCUACACACGUGUUACAAUGGGGGGUACAGAAGGCAGCUAGCGGGUGACCGUAUGCUAAUCCCAAAAUCCUCUCUCAGUUCGGAUCGAAGUCUGCAACCCGACUUCGUGAAGCUGGAUUCGCUAGUAAUCGCGCAUCAGCCACGGCGCGGUGAAUACGUUCCCGGGCCUUGUACACACCGCCCGUCAAGCCAUGGGAGCCGGGGGUACCUGAAGUACGUAACCGCAAGGAUCGUCCUAGGGUAAAA